GGAAAAGAGCUUGUUUUCAACAGUAAGGCUGUCCUUGGAUGGGCUUGUCCUUGGCUCAUCCUCUGGGAUCCACCCCUUCUGUGGUCCUGCAGGUGCCACCCAUCUCUUGGGGAGUGUCCAUGCCACAGCUAUCCCUGCACAUCCCUUCUCAUAAAUAUCCAGAAGUUCCAGGGCUGUCUCUACUCAAGCCUCAUAUAGCCACAAACAAACCCUUCAAUUUACAUUUCACCACCUCCCAAGAGCUUCCCCAGAUUCCUCGCAGUUAGAAGAGGCCGCACCCUUGUCCCGUCCCCCAGUGCCUGCCCUGCACGUAUCCUUUGGCAUGAACAUCGUCUGCUCACUGUCCUGGUUUCAACGCCACCUGGACCAUGACACUAGGGUUCUGUAGGUCCAGCCCAGCCUUGGUGGCCAUGAAGGUUUGGAUCCCUGACGAGCAUUUCUACCCCAAAUGCCAUCUCAGCAUCUGAUAUCUGCUUCCAGAAAGCUCAGCCAACAUCGCCAACUUUCUUCAUUCAUUCUUUCACAUGACGGAUGCUGAGCAAUGGAGACCCAGCAGUAAAAAGUGAGGGGCUUGUGGACCAGGGGAGUGAGACAGACUACCAACAGAGAGCCUCUUCAUUGACUAGAUUGUCACUACCCUAGCAGCUACUAUCAUGGUACAGUGGUCCCCGGCCUCUGUCUGUGAUUGGUGCAUGUGAGGUGUGUACUAGACCCAAGAUGGAAAUUGGACUCCAAACCAAGGGACGCCUCAUCUGACUGCUUUCUGAAGUAAAAGAGAUGUAAGUUGGAGCUCUUGGCGGCUUUGCUCUGCCACGUGGACUGAGGAGGGGAUAAAAAUCAAUUGGCAGUAAUAGAGAAAAAUAAAGCAAUGGAAACAGCAAAAGGAAUUGGGAGAAAGAAGAGGAGGAGGAGAAGGAAAGGGGAAAAGGGAAAGAUGAAGGAUUGCGAAGGCACGGAAUUCCUGGAACUGGCUUCAGUGCGGCCUGGUUAUAUCACUGUCGGUUGUUCUAGGAGACACUGCUUGGGCCAAAGGUGGCCUCUGACCAUGAAACUUAGAAAAGCAUUAAAUGCAUGUGAUUAAAUUUGUCAUUAUU
Nycticebus coucang (slow loris) is the source of this 1094-nucleotide long non-coding RNA. RefSeq lists it as uncharacterized. The transcript is spliced from 3 exons. NCBI's taxonomy places the organism in Eukaryota, Metazoa, Chordata, Mammalia, Primates, Lorisidae. The record is from RefSeq and is a predicted model, not a curated record.